AGUGAGCGCUGGCGGUAGGCCUAACACAUGCAAGUCGAACGGCAGCACAGUAAGAGCUUGCUCUUACGGGUGGCGAGUGGCGGACGGGUGAGGAAUACAUCGGAAUCUACUUUUUCGUGGGGGAUAACGUAGGGAAACUUACGCUAAUACCGCAUACGACCUACGGGUGAAAGCAGGGGAUCUUCGGACCUUGCGCGAUUGAAUGAGCCGAUGUCGGAUUAGCUAGUUGGCGGGGUAAAGGCCCACCAAGGCGACGAUCCGUAGCUGGUCUGAGAGGAUGAUCAGCCACACUGGAACUGAGACACGGUCCAGACUCCUACGGGAGGCAGCAGUGGGGAAUAUUGGACAAUGGGCGCAAGCCUGAUCCAGCCAUACCGCGUGGGUGAAGAAGGCCUUCGGGUUGUAAAGCCCUUUUGUUGGGAAAGAAAAGCAGCAGGUUAAUACCCCGCUGUUCUGACGGUACCCAAAGAAUAGGCACCGGCUAACUUCGUG
This 492-nucleotide ribosomal RNA is filed under the name uncultured bacterium. Its description in RNAcentral is "partial 16S ribosomal RNA". It matches the Rfam family "Bacterial small subunit ribosomal RNA", at positions 29 to 507 of the family's 1533-position model. The record is from RNAcentral.